GACCCUCUGCCGCCGGUGGCUGCGGCCCGAGUGGCACACGAAGGCCCAGAUGCUGGACCUGGUCGUCCUGGAGCAGUUCCUGGCCGUCCUGCCCCCGGAGAUGGAGAGCUGGGUCAGAGGGUGUGGACCGGAGACCACUCCCUAGGCGGUGGCCCUGGCCGAAGGCUUCCUCCUGAGCCAGCAGCAGGAGCGGGAGGAGGAGGAGAAGAAGAAGCCGGACGAGGAGGAGGAGGAGGAGGAGCAGCAGCAGGUGCAGGGGACGCUGGCCCACGUGACGCCUGAAGCACGGAAGGCUCCGUCCGGCUCCACUCCGCGUCCGCUGCUCAGAGGGAUCGUGCAGGAGGGCGGCGGAAGCACCGCGUCGCUGGGAAAUGGAAUUAUGCUCAGAGGUCCCUGCCGGCCCCCUUCUCUUUGUGGAGGGAUGGAAACCGCUUCUGAGCAGCCUGAACAGGAUCUGGUGACCUUUGAGGAGAUGGCGGUGCAU
This is a long non-coding RNA of Elgaria multicarinata webbii, 484 nucleotides long. RefSeq lists it as uncharacterized. The record is from RefSeq and is a predicted model, not a curated record. NCBI's taxonomy places the organism in Eukaryota, Metazoa, Chordata, Lepidosauria, Squamata, Anguidae. The transcript is spliced from 4 exons.